This 254-nucleotide ribosomal RNA is filed under the name uncultured bacterium. RNAcentral describes it as "partial 16S ribosomal RNA". It matches the Rfam family "Bacterial small subunit ribosomal RNA", at positions 524 to 776 of the family's 1533-position model. The record is from RNAcentral.
UACGGGGGGAGCAAGCGUUGUUCGGAUUUACUGGGCGUAAAGGGCGCGUAGGCGGCCAGUGCAAGUCAGUUGUGAAAUCUCCGAGCUUAACUCGGAAAGGUCAACUGAUACUGCUCGGCUAGAGUGCGGAAGGGGCAACUGGAAUUCUUGGUGUAGCGGUGAAAUGCGUAGAUAUUCGGAAGAACACCAGUGGCGAAGGCGGCUCACUGGACUGGUAUUGACGCUGAGGUGCGAAAGCGUGGGGAGCAAACAGG